Molecule: ribosomal RNA, 778 nt
Filed under: uncultured Neocallimastigales
Lineage: Eukaryota; Fungi; Neocallimastigomycota; Neocallimastigomycetes; Neocallimastigales
Description: partial large subunit ribosomal RNA
Rfam family: Eukaryotic large subunit ribosomal RNA
Source: RNAcentral
GAGACUCUGUGCGCGUGCAUAUCAAUAAGCGGAGGAAAAGAAACUAACAAGGAUUCCCCUAGUAACGGCGAGUGAAGCGGGAAGAGCUCAAAUUUGAAAUCUUAAAGGGUUUCCCUUUACGAAUUGUAGUUUAAAGAAGUGUUUUCUGUUGGAGUUUCGGUAAAAGUUCUUUGGAAUAGGACAUCAUAGAGGGUGAGAAUCCCGUAUUUGACCGUUACUUUCCAGCUGUGUGAUACACUUUCAAAGAGUCGGAUUGUUUGGGAAUGCAGUCCAAAAUGAGGGGUAAAUUUCAUCUAAAGCUAAAUAUUGGCGAGAGACCGAUAGCGAACAAGUACCGUGAGGGAAAGAUGAAAAGAACUUUGAAAAGAGAGUUAAACAGUACGUGAAAUUGUCAAAAGGGAAGCGUUUGACACCAGUGUUGUUUAGUUGAAAAUCAAUUCAAUAAUUUUUGAUUUUGAGUAGUAUUGACUUCAUCAGCUUGCUGCUUUCUUUUCGAAAUUAUUGAAUGCACUUUUCAGUUAACAAGUCAACAUCAAUUUCUUUUGUUGUAAAAGGGUAAGAGGAAGGUGGCUUACGCUUCGGCGUCAAGUGUUUAUAGCCUUUUAUCUCUGCAAUCGGAGAGAUUGAGGUACAUGCAGCGUAGACUCCUCCGGGGUUAGAUACACUUGUGCUAAGCUAUAGCCUUGUAUAGACAACUUGUUGACUAUGCUCAGUCAUGUAGCUUACUCGCUGAUGCUAUUUUACCUACGCUUAGGAUGUUGACAGCAGUAUAGACUGU